This 16-nucleotide transfer RNA is filed under the name Asperula laevigata. RNAcentral's name for it is "partial tRNA-Cys". Lineage: Eukaryota; Viridiplantae; Streptophyta; Magnoliopsida; Gentianales; Rubiaceae. The record is from RNAcentral. RNAcentral also lists the same sequence under 61 other names.
UCGCCUGAUCAACAAA